AGAUUACGAGAAAUUCAAAGCCACAUCAUCCAAGACAACACCAUAUUCAACAACAUUCAACGAGUCAGUCUGUCCACAUUGGCUCGCAUUCUCAAGCGAAACCAAAUCAGAAUGAAACAACUUUAUAAGGUGCCGUUUGAGAGAAACUCUCAAAGAAACAAAGAGGUCAGACGAGCAUAUGUGGAUGGAGUACUGGAAAUGGAUGCUCAUGCAAUCCCACAUGAGUUCAUCUUUAUAUAUGAGGCUGGGUUCAACCUAGCAAAGACCAGAAGAAGGGGGAGAAACGUCAUUGGCCACAGAGCCAUUAUAGAUGUUCCUGGCCAACGUGGUGGGAACAUCACAAUGUGCGCUGCCAUCUCCAAUACGCAUGGUGUCCUCCACCGUCAUGCCAACCUUGGACCAUACAACACAGCCCAUAUUCUCACAUUUCUGGACAGACUCCACAACAUUCUCAUACCACCAGAGCGUAUGAAUGAUGCAGACCAUC
This is a long non-coding RNA of Coregonus clupeaformis (lake whitefish), 487 nucleotides long. RefSeq lists it as uncharacterized. Lineage: Eukaryota; Metazoa; Chordata; Actinopteri; Salmoniformes; Salmonidae. The transcript has 2 exons. The record is from RefSeq and is a predicted model, not a curated record.